AAUCCAGACUCCUACGGGAGGCAGCAGUGGGGAAUAUUGCACAAUGGGGGAAACCCUGAUGCAGCGACGCCGCGUGAGUGAAGAAGUAUUUCGGUAUGUAAAGCUCUAUCAGCAGGGAAGAUAAUGACGGUACCUGAGUAAGAAGCCCCGGCUAACUACGUGCCAGCAGCCGCGGUAAUACGUAGGGGGCAAGCGUUAUCCGGAUUUACUGGGUGUAAAGGGAGCGUAGACGGCAUGGCAAGUCUGAAGUGAAAGCCCGGGGCUCAACCGCGGGACUGCUUUGGAAACUGUUAAGCUGGAGUGCAGGAGAGGUAAGUGGAAUCCCUAGUGUAGCGGUGAAAUGCGUAGAUAUUAGGAGGAACACCAGUGGCGAAGGCGGCUUACUGGACUGUAACUGACGUUGAGGCUCGAAAGCGUGGGGAGCAAACAGGAUUAGAUACCCUGUA
RNAcentral lists this ribosomal RNA (446 nucleotides) under uncultured bacterium. Its description in RNAcentral is "bacterial SSU rRNA". It matches the Rfam family "Bacterial small subunit ribosomal RNA", at positions 328 to 791 of the family's 1533-position model. The record is from RNAcentral.